ACAACAACAAGUCAAGCAGCAUCCUAGCUCCAGUACAAGAUCCGAGUACAAGCUGGAGAGCGGGCUAGAGACCUGGAAUGCAAGAUGUGGAGAGCAAGCACAAAUUUGAGCUGAAAUGUUAUAAGAUCAUGAGUAGAUGUUUUGUGAGUUGAACACUGUCACCCAUAAUAUCAUGAGUAUUUCCUUGAGAAGAUAGGAAGAAUUAUGUUAAAUGAUUUAGUUUGUAUUAAAUUAAAUAUCAAAAUCA
Lolium rigidum is the source of this 247-nucleotide long non-coding RNA. RefSeq lists it as uncharacterized. The record is from RefSeq and is a predicted model, not a curated record. The transcript is spliced from 2 exons. NCBI's taxonomy places the organism in Eukaryota, Viridiplantae, Streptophyta, Magnoliopsida, Poales, Poaceae.